Molecule: ribosomal RNA, 427 nt
Filed under: uncultured bacterium
Lineage: Bacteria
Description: partial 16S ribosomal RNA
Rfam family: Bacterial small subunit ribosomal RNA
Source: RNAcentral
GUGAGGAAUAUUGGGCAAUGGGGGCAACCCUGACCCAGCAACGCCGCGUGAAGGAAGAAGGCCUUCGGGUUGUAAACUUCUUUUACCAGGGAAAAAGAAAAUGAUGGUACCUGGAGAAAAAGCUACGGCUAACUACGUGCCAGCAGCCGCGGUAAUACGUAGGUGGCAAGCGUUGUCCGGAAUUAUUGGGCGUAAAGAGCAUGUAGGCGGGAAUCUAAGUCUGUUGUGAAAAUGCGGGGCUCAACCCCGUAUUGCGAUGGAAACUGGGUUUCUUGAGUGCAGGAGAGGAAAGGGGAAUUCCCAGUGUAGCGGUGAAAUGCGUAGAUAUUGGGAGGAACACCAGUGGCGAAGGCGCCUUUCUGAACUGUGUCUGACGCUGAGAUGCGAAAGCCAGGGUAGCGAACGGGAUUAGAAACCCCUGUAGUCC